UCUUUCUCCUGUUUCCUCUUGUCUAAUGGAUCCAGAGUGUGGGCCGUGCCCGGAUGACUGGAUUCUUUUCAGACAAAAAUGCUACAUGUUUUACGACAAACCAGCUCCUUGGAAGACCUGGGAAGAAAAUCGAAGGUUCUGUCAGAAGAAUAGUUUGUAGUUUGAUUGUAAUUGAUGAUCAGCAGGAGGAGGAAUUUGUCAGUAAACACAUCAAAUACUACUAUGAUAAACACCAUUGAUACUGGAUGGGACUCAGAAAAAUUAACAACACCUGGACCUGGCUUGAUGGAUGUGUAGACACUCUUGGGUUCUGGGUGAAGGAUGUGUUCUAUGUUUAUGGACCGUAUGUACCGAUACUCCCAGAAAGAAAUCCCACAGACUGCUGGAAAGAAGUAUACUCUGGGUUUCUGAACAGAUUCAUCUGUGAGCGUAACGCUCGACUAAGAUCCAACUGACUCUUCUCUUAAAGUUUCAUGCAGGAGUGCUCAAUUAUGUAAUGAAUUUUUAUAUAUAAAUUGUAACAUCAUGACUUCAAUAAUCUGCUGGUCAUUUUGUCUCUUCAUUCUAAGUGUUUAUGAACUCUCACCUAAUGAACCUGUCUGUGUUGCACAGGCAGGGUUUGAUGUUGUUUUUGUGCAGGAACCAGAUUCUCUCAAUCAUUCCAGAGCGUUUGUCAGCAACUGACCAAUUGGCAUCGCAAGUACACACCUCUUAUCCGUAGGAACUGACCUCAGACAAUAUUGACAGUAUUUAGCAAAGCAAACACACUGCGGUCAGAGAGAUUUUGAGAAAUAAUAGAUGUUCAGUGGUGAACCUAACUAAAUGACAUUACCUAAAGCAUGCAAAGUGUCUUACUCUAUGCACAAAUUGAGUCAAAGGAAAGUUUCCACCUAGAUGGACAAAUAGUUUUAACUUUUCUUAUAUACAGUAUAUAUAAUUAAUAUAAGGCUCUACCAACAAAAAGGCUUUCAGAGCAAUAUAUAAAUAUGUGACUUUUUGCUUGUAUUUGUUUAACAACCCUGGUUGUCAUGUAUUCUGUGGAGCUCAUUGUUUGUUAUUGCUUUUUGCUCAAUUAUGUUUCUUAAAGAAAAAUAUACAUUUUUUCAUAUGUGGGCUCACUGAUAUUUUGAAAUGUGUACAUUGUAAUUGUUUUUUAAUAUAGUUUGUCAUGUUGCUUUU
Long non-coding RNA from Xiphophorus couchianus (Monterrey platyfish), 1179 nucleotides. RefSeq lists it as uncharacterized. The record is from RefSeq and is a predicted model, not a curated record. Lineage: Eukaryota; Metazoa; Chordata; Actinopteri; Cyprinodontiformes; Poeciliidae. The transcript is spliced from 3 exons.